GUUUAUGUUCUUUUCCAUUCCUUUUCUUUUCUUUUCUUUAUUUCUGGGUUGGGUGUUGUUUGGGGCUAGAUUCAUGAAGGUAUUAUCAUGGGCCAUAGAAUCAAUUUUUACUCGAGAAUCAAUAACUGUAUGUUCUUUUUUCAGAGACCAUCUCUACCUUAUUCAGUGAUCAACAAAAUCAUAUUCCUUCUGCAUUUACUUAGACUUUUGAUUGGAUUUUUAGGUCCAUUUUACUUCAUCUACAGCUGUGGAGUGUAGACAUGUUUUGUUGAUAAAUUUAUGGAUCUAAAACUUCCCCACCUUUUAUUUGUACUCUUGUAAUCAUUAUCGUCACACAAAUAAAUUAGACCUAAUAAUCACGUUGUGCUUAAUUAAUAAAUUGUGGUUGAAAGUUACAGCUAGAUGAUAAGGUAUAGAAUAGCGUUCCUGGGGUCAAAUUUAAGUAUUUAGACUGUAAUAAGAGAUUCAGCCAUCAAGUGUGACAAUUUGAAGCAAUUCUUAUGGAUCAAAUGAUCAGACAUAAUCCUAAU
Molecule: unclassified non-coding RNA, 530 nt
Filed under: Hevea brasiliensis (rubber tree)
Lineage: Eukaryota; Viridiplantae; Streptophyta; Magnoliopsida; Malpighiales; Euphorbiaceae
Source: RNAcentral